GCCGGGCAUGGUGGUGGGUGCCUGGAAUCCCAACUACUUGGGAGGCUGAGGCAGGAGAAUCAUUUGAGCCCAGGAAGUGGAGGUUGCAGUGAGCCAAGAUUGUGCCACUGCAUUCCAGCCUGGGCAACAGAGUGAGACUCUGUCUCAA
This 148-nucleotide non-coding RNA is filed under the name Chlorocebus sabaeus (green monkey). Lineage: Eukaryota; Metazoa; Chordata; Mammalia; Primates; Cercopithecidae. The record is from Rfam by way of RNAcentral.